GUCACGCAUACACACUCAGACACACAUACACGCGUCCACCGUGUUCUCUGGUCGUCGUACCUGUUCGCUCACUUUUAGUGGAUGGGAAGGGAAACGACGAACAACGAAAGGGUCCGCUUAAAACUCGCUUGUUACGUUUCUCUUGCUCUCGCUCGUGCUUGCCUCGCGCGCGUCCGUCCAUGCGUGUGCGUCGGUGCUGUUCAUGCCUCUGUGCAGUCAGUCAUCAGUUAUCUCUCGCUCUCUUCCCCUCCUUUCACGGUCCUCCUGCUCCGCUCAUCCUAUCUGUUAUCGUCUGCUCCCCCGGUCUCUCUCUGUGUAGUUCCGAGGCUACCAAGUGUGUAGGCACACGAAGAGGGUGCGCCGAGGGAAGCACAAGCGGCACACACUUUUCCGUUUUGAUUCCGCAGUUGUUUUAAUUUGUCGUUGUUGUUGUUCGUCGUUCUCUCUCUCGCUCUCCCUCUCCGUCAGCGAAUCUACGGACAGAGCGUGAGAGAGGUAGAAGGGCUGAGCUCGAAAUAGAGAGUCGCGAUAAUCGAAUUGUAAACGGGCGCAGACACACUUAUCGUCUCACUGUGUGUGUGCGCGCACGAAAAAAAAAACUUAGAACACCUUUUUGUGUACAAUCGCGGGCGUGCUCGAGCCACUGGGUCCUUCCCUUCACGCCAUCCUCUUUGUACUUCGUUUUCUGCUGUCUUCUCCUUUGGUUGAGAGGCAGGAGGGAGCCUGUGAAUCCGCAUCCACACGCACGCCCCUAAAUCUGCGGGCCUCAGAGGCGAAGAGGAGCGAAGAAGUGCAUCAAACGAAGACGGUUCCGCUUUCUAGAGCUCAGGUUUCUUUGCGUGUGCCGCUCUGUCACCCUCACUGAAAGCACAGCUCUUCAUUUGUAGGUGCUGGCUCAUCACGUGAUUCAAUAUUUAGUGUUGGUGUAGUGGGGUGUUGUGGUCGCUUGUCGCUGCCGCGGCUGUGUGGGUGGGAGUGCACCAUCUCGCAUCUACCCUCUCCACACUCGUCCUCUCCAUUUUUCUUGAUCUCGAUACGGUGUCUGUGCCCCUUCUUCGUUGUGUGCGUUUUGCCGUUAUUGUCGGACUGCUGUGGCUCACCCUCUGCUUUUCCGCCGACCAUCGUUUUUUUUUGUUCGUCGUCUUCUUGGGCUUCUUUUCUUCCUCGUUCGUCCCCCCUCCUCCCCUCUCUCUUUGCCCCCCCCCACGCUGCUGUAUUCACUCCUCCCAGAGAGCCUCUUCCCUUAAUUCCCCCGCGGUGCUACUCGGUCUCCUCCUCGCCUUUCUGUGUGUGUUCUCCCCGACCCUCCAUUGACCCCGCUCACUUCCCCCUUUCUUUGUGUUCCCGUCUCCAUCUCCCCGCGUUCUUCUGCUGUCGUGUUGAGCCUCUUUCCUCUUUCCUCGACUUGGCGUUGCCCGCACUCUCACACUCUUUCCUUUGCGUGGUUGGAAUUUGUUUUUGUUCGGCCCUCUCCUCUUGUUGUUGUGCACGUGUAUGCGGCUUGCUCAUGUUCGUUUGUAUUUAGGGUCUCCAUCUCGGACACACGGGCCAUUUCCAUUGCCGUCAUCGUCAUCCAAUAUUGUCGCUGCUGUUGUCAUCCAGUUUACUGUUGCUGUGGGCUCGCUCGUGCGUCCGCUUGUGCCGCUUCUUCUCAGUGGCUUCGCUCCUCCUUACUGCUUUACGUGAUUUUAACAAAGAAUAUUGUCGCGUCCCUCUUUUCGUUUUCGUUUCUCGGCCUGUCGUUGUUCCUCCAGCUGAGCCCUCUUACUCCUCCCCUACUCUCCCUCUUGUUUCUUUUUUUUUCGUCUCUCUUUUCCCGCUACCCCGUACUUGCUCACCCACUCGUCCUCUUACCUGCCCCUCAUCCGACGCACAGACUCCGCGCACUCGCACGAGUGCGCAGAGCCACAGGAAGACACGUAGGCGCACAUACAUCUGUUUGUUCACAUACGCCAAAGCCGUCCCUGCAGCAUCUCACACGACGCGGCAAGCAGGGCAAAGCAACACCAGAGAGAAAAGGGACAAAAAGAAAAGCCGCAGCACUCACUGUGGCGCUCUCCCUCCCCUCCCCUCCCCUCCCCUCCCCUCCCCUCCCUCCCAAUAUACACGGACACGCCCCUCCAACAGCGACAGCAACGAGGGUAUCAUACCAGCGAACAACAUCGAACCAACACGGGAAAACGGUAGAAAAAAAAGAACACGCUCGCCCCGAAGUCUUUUCAAAAGAAGGAGGAAGCACGCAAGCGAAAAGCGAACAACGAUAACAGUGGAUUUCGGCUCUUCGUGUCAGCGGUGACUCCACGCUCGUGUUCCGCGUCCCGCCGCCUUGAUCUUGUUUUGUAUUUGCCCCAGUGUCUUCAGUUGCCCUCUUCGCUUUCACUUCUCUCGAGUAUCGGUCCCACACACCCUUUAUUUUAUACCUCUGCUUCUCAUCUCUUUCUCCGCCUUCCUUCGAUCGCUGUCGGGGUACAG
Molecule: unclassified non-coding RNA, 2472 nt
Filed under: Leishmania donovani
Lineage: Eukaryota; Euglenozoa; Kinetoplastea; Trypanosomatida; Trypanosomatidae
Description: gene:unknown
Source: RNAcentral